This 467-nucleotide ribosomal RNA is filed under the name uncultured bacterium. Its description in RNAcentral is "partial 16S ribosomal RNA". It matches the Rfam family "Bacterial small subunit ribosomal RNA", at positions 28 to 507 of the family's 1533-position model. The record is from RNAcentral.
GACGAACGCUGGCGGCGUGCUUAACACAUGCAAGUCGAACGGAAAGGCCCUGCUUUUGUGGGGUGCUCGAGUGGCGAACGGGUGAGUAACACGUGAGUAACCUGCCCUUGACUUGGGAUAACUUCAGGAAACUGGGGCUAAUACCGGAUAGGAGCUCCUGCUGCAUGGUGGGGGUUGGAAAGUUUCGGCGGUUGGGGAUGGACUCGCGGCUUAUCAGCUUGUUGGUGGGGUAGUGGCUUACCAAGGCUUUGACGGGUAGCCGGCCUGAGAGGGUGACCGGCCACAUUGGGACUGAGAUACGGCCCAGACUCCUACGGGAGGCAGCAGUGGGGAAUAUUGCACAAUGGGCGGAGGCCUGAUGCAGCAACGCCGCGUGCGGGAUGACGGCCUUCGGGUUGUAAACCGCUUUCGCCUGUGACGAAGCGUGAGUGACGGUAAUGGGUAAAGAAGCACCGGCUAACUACGUG